Molecule: non-coding RNA, 45 nt
Organism: Schistosoma rodhaini
Lineage: Eukaryota; Metazoa; Platyhelminthes; Trematoda; Strigeidida; Schistosomatidae
Source: Rfam
AUCCAACUGAUGAGUCUCAAACAGGACGAAACACGCGUCCUGGAU